This 1070-nucleotide long non-coding RNA is filed under the name Pogona vitticeps (central bearded dragon). RNAcentral's name for it is "lncRNA (ENSPVIG00000001671.1)". Lineage: Eukaryota; Metazoa; Chordata; Lepidosauria; Squamata; Agamidae. The record is from RNAcentral.
UUGUGACAAGGUAAACUCCACAGAGUCAUCCAAAAGAAGGGAGCGAAGGGUCAGUUCAAGCAAAGCAUGGUGGCCUGAGAGGGUUGGCCUGGGUUCGGGGUUGUGUUCGCUUUUGAAUCACAAAGUCAUAUUUUGUGAAACCUCGGACAUAGCUCUCAAAAGGCAGAGGAACCGACCUUCCACCUUCAGAUUAUAAAUCAGGAGUAACAAUGGAACCAUCGGUUUAAAAUGUAAAACAUUAAUAGAAAAGAAGGAGACGAACAGGGAGAAGAAAAGAACCGUGUUGUUAAUUCUUAAAAGUUUAGAAUCCAGCUCAGUGAAUCCAAAAGUGGUUGCCAGAGACGGGAUUCAGAAGAUCGACUCGGAUCUCAGCAAUCCGCCCAAAGGGAUCCUUCAGGCUUUCUUCCGCUGAGGGUUGAAAACAUUAACUCCUGGGGUCCGAAGAGCCAUGACAGCUCCCCGCUUUUCCUCUGCCUGAGAAUCGCCAGGCUGUUUGUAAACAAGUGGCGGGCCGUUACGCCGUUUCCAGCCGGCUCUGGAAGAAACUGCAGAAAAUCCGGGCAAGUUCCUGCGAAGACAACAGGGGCGAGAGGGUGAGGCAGAAGGAAGCUCUAGAGGUUGACAUCCCCCCAGGAAACGCUAUCGCUUCCAAACGUCCCCUUUAACAACAGGCCGUGGGGCACCUUCCCGACUAACACAUUCAUUCGGGCAUCCGCUUUCGGGUAGGCCGCCCUCACCGGCUCCAGCGACACUUACAGCACGAUCCUGAUGUUAAGCCUUCAAGGCAGGGCAAAGCCUUCACUGCUUUUGCUGAGACUGCCUAACGCAAGGGGUCCUGCUGCCAACAGAGCCUUGUGGGUCACAGAAGGCCAAGAGCGUCAAGAGGUGUCACCUGAAAGUAGAUCCUGUCUGCACCCCAAUGGCCCCGCUCCCCCUGUUCGUGAACAGAAAGGCGAUGUCUUACGAGGAGACCUCUGAAUCCGGCACAGAAGACCCAGAACAUUUUUCUAAAUCGAAACCGUGCCCACCAAUCUCCACCCCACCCCCCGAGUCCUUCCCGGCUCUGUGUC